RNAcentral lists this ribosomal RNA (564 nucleotides) under Streptomyces sp. 331A04. Its description in RNAcentral is "bacterial SSU rRNA". It matches the Rfam family "Bacterial small subunit ribosomal RNA", at positions 93 to 671 of the family's 1533-position model. The record is from RNAcentral. Lineage: Bacteria; Bacillati; Actinomycetota; Actinomycetes; Kitasatosporales; Streptomycetaceae.
UAGUGGCGAACGGGUGAGUAACACGUGGGCAAUCUGCCCUUCACUCUGGGACAAGCCCUGGAAACGGGGUCUAAUACCGGAUAACACUNUUCCCUGCAUGGGGGAGGGUUGAAAGCUCCGGCGGUGAAGGAUGAGCCCGCGGCCUAUCAGCUUGUUGGUGGGGUGAUGGCCUACCAAGGCGACGACGGGUAGCCGGCCUGAGAGGGCGACCGGCCACACUGGGACUGAGACACGGCCCAGACUCCUACGGGAGGCAGCAGUGGGGAAUAUUGCACAAUGGGCGGAAGCCUGAUGCAGCGACGCCGCGUGAGGGAUGACGGCCUUCGGGUUGUAAACCUCUUUCAGCAGGGAAGAAGCGUGAGUGACGGUACCUGCAGAAGAAGCGCCGGCUAACUACGUGCCAGCAGCCGCGGUAAUACGUAGGGCGCAAGCGUUGUCCGGAAUUAUUGGGCGUAAAGAGCUCGUAGGCGGCUUGUCGCGUCGGAUGUGAAAGCCCGGGGCUUAACUCCGGGUCUGCAUUCGAUACGGGCAGGCUAGAGUGUGGUAGGGGAGAUCGGAAUUCCU